This is a non-coding RNA of Ruminococcus flavefaciens, 347 nucleotides long. The record is from Rfam. Lineage: Bacteria; Bacillati; Bacillota; Clostridia; Eubacteriales; Oscillospiraceae.
UGAGCAGACUAUGCGGUAGCGGAAACGUUUUAGUUUACGAGGAAAGUCCGAGCAUCAUAGAGCAGGGUAGCUGCUAACGGCAGCCGAGGGCGACCUUAGGGCAAGUGCAACAGAGAUAUACUGCCGUCUUUAUGGCGGUGAUGGUGGAAAGGCGAGGUAAGAGCUCACCAGAGUACUGGAGACAGUACUGCUAUGUAAACCCUAUCCGAUGCAACGUCUAUUGGUGCCUGUUAUCUUAACGUCGGCUCGGCGGAUAACAGGUAAUGACGGCUUGAGCUUACCGGCGACGGUAAGCGUAGAUAAAUUACCGCACACGACAGAACUCGGCUUAUCGGUCUGGUCAUAAA